Hypanus sabinus (Atlantic stingray) is the source of this 112-nucleotide small nuclear RNA. NCBI's taxonomy places the organism in Eukaryota, Metazoa, Chordata, Chondrichthyes, Myliobatiformes, Dasyatidae. The record is from RefSeq and is a predicted model, not a curated record.
GUGGUAGCCUAUCAAAUGCCACACAUACACUAAAACUGGAACAAUAGAGAGAAGAUUAGUGUGUCCUGUGCACAAUGAUGGCACGCAAAUGCAUAAAAGGUUCCACAUUUUG